RNAcentral lists this ribosomal RNA (505 nucleotides) under uncultured bacterium. RNAcentral describes it as "partial 16S ribosomal RNA". It matches the Rfam family "Bacterial small subunit ribosomal RNA", at positions 28 to 507 of the family's 1533-position model. The record is from RNAcentral.
GACGAACGCUGGCGGCGUGCCUAAUACAUGCAAGUAGAACGCACAGUUUAUACCGUAGCUUGCUACACCAUAGACUGUGAGUUGCGAACGGGUGAGUAACGCGUAGGUAACCUGCCUGGUAGCGGGGGAUAACUAUUGGAAACGAUAGCUAAUACCGCAUAAUAUUAAUUAUUGCAUGAUAAUUAAUUGAAAUGUGCAAUUGCACCACUACCAGAUGGACCUACGUUGUAUUAGCUAGUAGGUGAGGUAACGGCUCACCUAGGCGAAGAUACAUAGCCGACCUGAGAGGGGGAUCGGCCACACUGGGACUGAGACACGGCCCAGACCCCUACGGGAGGCAGCAGUAGGGAAACUUCGGCAAUGGACGAAAGUCUGAACGAGCAACGCCGCGUGAGUGAAGAAGGUUUUCGGGUCGUAAAGCUCUGUUGUAAGAGAAGAACGGGUGUGAGAGUGGAAAGUUCACACUGUGACGGUAUCUUACCAGAAAGGGACGGCUAACUACGUG